GAUGAAGAACGCAGCGAAAUGCGAUACGUAAUGUGAAUUGCAGAAUUCAGUGAAUCAUCGAGUCUUUGAACGCACAUUGCGCCCCCUGGUAUUCCGGGGGGCAUGCCUGUCCGAGCGUCAUUGCUGCCCUCAAGCCCGGCUUGUGUGUUGGGUCUCGUCCCCCUUCCCGGGGGGACGGGCCCGAAAGGCAGCGGCGGCACCGUGUCCGGUCCUCGAGCGUAUGGGGCUUUGUCACCCGCUCUGUAGGCCCGGCCGGCGCUUGCCGAUCAACCAAAACUUUUUUCCAGGUUGACCUCGGAUCAGGUAGGGAUACCCGCUGAACUUUAGCAUAUCAAUAAGCGGAGGA
RNAcentral lists this unclassified non-coding RNA (346 nucleotides) under soil metagenome. Its description in RNAcentral is "partial contains 5.8S ribosomal RNA, internal transcribed spacer 2, and large subunit ribosomal RNA". The stretch from base 1 to 120 matches the Rfam family "5.8S ribosomal RNA", at positions 35 to 154 of the family's 154-position model. The record is from RNAcentral.